Molecule: ribosomal RNA, 535 nt
Filed under: uncultured Acidobacteriota bacterium
Lineage: Bacteria; Pseudomonadati; Acidobacteriota
Description: bacterial SSU rRNA
Rfam family: Bacterial small subunit ribosomal RNA
Source: RNAcentral
AGAGUUUGAUCCUGGCUCAGAAUCAACGCUGGCGGCGUGCCUAACACAUGCAAGUCGAACGCGAAAGCCCUUUCGGGGGUAAGUAGAGUGGCGUCCGGGUGAGUAACACGUGGGUAAUCUGCCUUCGGGUGGGGAAUAACUCAGGGAAACUUGAGCUAAUACCGCAUAAUGCAGCGGCACCUAAUGGUGAUUAGUUGUUAAAGCGGGGGAUCGCAAGACCUCGCGCCUGAAGAGGAGCCUGCGGCAGAUUAGCUAGUUGGUGAGGUAAUGGCUCACCAAGGCUACGAUCUGUAGCUGGUCUGAGAGGACGGCCAGCCACACUGGCACUGACACACGGGCCAGACUCCUACGGGAGGCAGCAGUGGGGAAUUUUGGGCAAUGGGCGAAAGCCUGACCCAGCAACGCCGCGUGAGGGAGGAAAUCCUUCGGGAUGUAAACCUCACAAGCAAGGGAAGAGAGCUGCGGGCUGAAUAAUCCCGCAGUACGACGGUACCUUGCGUAAGCCACGGCUAACUACGUGCCAGCAGCCGCGGUA